AAAUCAGUUAUCGUUUAUUUGAUAGUACCUUACUACUUGGAUAACCGUGGUAAUUCUAGAGCUAAUACAUGCUAAAAAUCCCGACUUCGGAAGGGAUGUAUUUAUUAGAUUAAAAACCAAUGCCCUUCGGGGCUUUCUGGUGAUUCAUAAUAACUUCUCGAAUCGCAAGGCCUUGCGCCGGCGAUGGUUCAUUCAAAUUUCUGCCCUAUCAACUUUCGACGGCUGGGUAUUGGCCAGCCAUGGUGACAACGGGUAACGGAGGGUUAGGGCUCGACCCCGGAGAAGGAGCCUGAGAGACGGCUACUACAUCCAAGGAAGGCAGCAGGCGCGCAAAUUACCCAAUCCCGACACGGGGAGGUAGUGACAAUAAAUACUGAUACAGGGCUCUUUUGGGUCUUGUAAUUGGAAUGAGUACAAUUUAAAUCCCUUAACGAGGAACAAUUGGAGGGCAAGUCUGGUGCCAGCAGCCGCGGUAAUUCCAGCUCCAAUAGCGUAUAUUAAAGUUGUUGCAGUUAAAAAGCUCGUAGUUGAACCUUGGGCCUGGCUGGCCGGUCCGCCUCACCGCGUGCACUGGUCCGGCCGGGCCUUUCCCUCUGGGGAACCGCAUGCCCUUCACUGGGUGUGUCGGGGAACCAGGACUUUUACUUUGAACAAAUUAGAUCGCUUAAAGAAGGCCUAUGCUCGAAUACAUUAGCAUGGAAUAAUAGAAUAGGACGUGUGGUUCUAUUUUGUUGGUUUCUAGGACCGCCGUAAUGAUUAAUAGGGACAGUCGGGGGCAUCAGUAUUCAAUUGUCAGAGGUGAAAUUCUUGGAUUUAUUGAAGACUAACUACUGCGAAAGCAUUUGCCAAGGAUGUUUUCAUUAAUCAGGAACGAAAGUUAGGGGAUCGAAGACGAUCAGAUACCGUCGUAGUCUUAACCAUAAACUAUGCCGACUAGGGAUCGGACGAUGUUAUUUUUUGACUCGUUCGGCACCUU
Molecule: ribosomal RNA, 976 nt
Filed under: Cordana abramovii
Lineage: Eukaryota; Fungi; Ascomycota; Sordariomycetes; Coniochaetales; Cordanaceae
Description: SSU rRNA
Rfam family: Eukaryotic small subunit ribosomal RNA
Source: RNAcentral